Molecule: ribosomal RNA, 497 nt
Filed under: uncultured bacterium
Lineage: Bacteria
Description: partial 16S ribosomal RNA
Rfam family: Bacterial small subunit ribosomal RNA
Source: RNAcentral
GAUGAACGCUGGCGGCGUGCCUAAUACAUGCAAGUCGAGCGAACAGACGAGGAGCUUGCUCCUCUGACGUUAGCGGCGGACGGGUGAGUAACACGUGGAUAACCUACCUAUAAGACUGGGAUAACUUCGGGAAACCGGAGCUAAUACCGGAUAAUAUAUUGAACCGCAUGGUUCAAUAGUGAAAGACGGGUUUGCUGUCACUUAUAGAUGGAUCCGCGCCGCAUUAGCUAGUUGGUAAGGUAACGGCUUACCAAGGCAACGAUGCGUAGCCGGCCUGAGAGGGUGAUCGGCCACACUGGAACUGAGACACGGUCCAGACUCCUACGGGAGGCAGCAGUAGGGCAUCUUGCGCAAUGGGCGAAAGCCUGACGGAGCAACGCCGCGUGAGUGAUGAAGGUCUUCGGAUCGUAAAACGCUGUUAUUAGGGAAGAACAAAUGUGUAAGUAACUAUGCACGUCUUGACGGUACCUAAACAGAAAGCAACGGCUAACUACGUG